UCUAAAUUUGGCAUUAUACUGCCAGGGAAAAUUCUACAGUACUGGAGGGUAUCCCAUGCUGUGAGUUUUGUGAAUAUUUGUGACCGUUGGAUCGGUAAUAUAUCCAAGGGUCAUGGAUAUUCGAAACAAGCUGACCUAUUCAGAAGGUAUCCCGUUUGGCCGUCACUCUCAGUUCGUCACCGUGCCUCCAGCGCUGGGCCUCCGUGCGCGGCGCUCCUCCGCUUCGCUGUGCCACCACGGCUCUCUCUCUCUGCGCGACUCUGCCUCGGUCUCCCUCUGUUCCACUCCACUGCUCAUCCAGUCCUUUUCAGCCUCCAGCCCACAGGUUCUCUUUCUCCGGCACGGACCCUUUCCAUCUCAGCCUCUCUCCUUGACCGUCGAGGCGUCGACGGUGACGGACUAACGGUGUCGAAUAGCCUUGAAGUCUCGAACUUGGUUUCUCUCUUCCUCAAGCAGCAAAGCAGAAAGCCAGAAACUGUUGGUUACACUCUGGGUUCGAUUUCUGGGUUUUCACUUACAUUCUGGGUUUCACUUUUCAAGCUUGCUUGGUUACUGAAAUCAAGCUUGGUAAGUUGCUGGGUAUUAUAUAUUUGUAUGAAUGUAUAAUCAUUGUAUGAUUAAAAUCAUUAAAUUGAUUGAGCUUCAAGUUGCUGCAUUUCUGAA
This is a long non-coding RNA of Rosa rugosa (rugosa rose), 663 nucleotides long. RefSeq lists it as uncharacterized. The transcript has 2 exons. Lineage: Eukaryota; Viridiplantae; Streptophyta; Magnoliopsida; Rosales; Rosaceae. The record is from RefSeq and is a predicted model, not a curated record.